RNAcentral lists this transfer RNA (71 nucleotides) under Stegodyphus mimosarum. It matches the Rfam family "tRNA". Rfam says of the family: Transfer RNA (tRNA) molecules are approximately 80 nucleotides in length. Their secondary structure includes four short double-helical elements and three loops (D, anti-codon, and T loops). Further hydrogen bonds mediate the characteristic L-shaped molecular structure. tRNAs have two regions of fundamental functional importance: the anti-codon, which is responsible for specific mRNA codon recognition, and the 3' end, to which the tRNAs corresponding amino acid is attached (by aminoacyl-tRNA synthetases). tRNAs cope with the degeneracy of the genetic code in two manners: having more than one tRNA (with a specific anti-codon) for a particular amino acid; and 'wobble' base-pairing, i.e. permitting non-standard base-pairing at the 3rd anti-codon position. Lineage: Eukaryota; Metazoa; Arthropoda; Arachnida; Araneae; Eresidae. The record is from Rfam by way of RNAcentral.
GUCUUUGUGGUGCAAUGGUAGCACACUCGACGCGUAUACGAGAGGUCCAGGUUCGAGUCCCGACGAAGGCG